RNAcentral lists this ribosomal RNA (455 nucleotides) under uncultured bacterium. RNAcentral describes it as "bacterial SSU rRNA". It matches the Rfam family "Bacterial small subunit ribosomal RNA", at positions 28 to 507 of the family's 1533-position model. The record is from RNAcentral.
GACGAACGCUGGCGGCGUGCCUCAUACAUGCAAGUCGAGCGGAUGCAGCAAUGCAUUAGCGGCGGACGGGUGAGUAACACGUGGGCAACCUGGCCUUAAGAGGGGGAUAACGUUCCGAAAGGGACGCUAAUACCGCGUAAAUCAGCGAAAUCGCAUGAUUUUGUUGGAAAAGGAGCAAUCCGCUUAAGGAUGGGCCCGCGGCCUAUUAGCUAGUUGGUAGGGUAACGGCCUACCAAGGCGACGAUAGGUAGCCGACCUGAGAGGGUGAACGGCCACACUGGAACUGAGAAACGGUCCAGACUCCUACGGGAGGCAGCAGUAGGGAAUAUUCCGCAAUGGGCGAAAGCCUGACGGAGCAACGCCGCGUGAGUGAAGAAGGUCUUCGGAUCGUAAAGCUCUGUCAACAGGGACGAAACAAGACGGUACCUGAGAAGGAAGCCACGGCAAACUACGUG